Cyphomyrmex costatus is the source of this 46-nucleotide non-coding RNA. Lineage: Eukaryota; Metazoa; Arthropoda; Insecta; Hymenoptera; Formicidae. The record is from Rfam.
UCAACGGCCCUUAUCAGGGCCACAAAUUUGUUCAUACGUUUGGCAU